RNAcentral lists this ribosomal RNA (461 nucleotides) under uncultured bacterium. RNAcentral describes it as "partial 16S ribosomal RNA". It matches the Rfam family "Bacterial small subunit ribosomal RNA", at positions 338 to 795 of the family's 1533-position model. The record is from RNAcentral.
CCUACGGGUGUCAGCAGUGAGGAAUAUUGGUCAAUGGGCGGGAGCCUGAACCAGCCAAGUCGCGUGAGGGAAGACGGUCCUAUGGAUUGUAAACCUCUUUAGGCGGGGAGCAAUGCCGGGCACGCGUGCCCGGAGGGAGAGUACCCGCAGAAUAAGCAUCGGCUAACUCCGUGCCAGCAGCCGCGGUAAUACGGAGGAUGCAAGCGUUGUCCGGAAUCAUUGGGCGUAAAGAGUUCGUAGGCGGCAUGUAAAGUCAGGUGUUAAAGGCGCAGGCUCAACCUGUGUAUGGCACUUGAUACUUGCAAGCUGGAAUGCGGUAGAGGUAAAGGGAAUUCCUUGUGUAGCGGUGAAAUGCUUAGAUAUCAGGAGGAACAUCGGUGGCGUAAGCGCUUUACUGGGCCGUAAUUGACGCUGAGGAACGAAAGCCAGGGUAGCAAAUGGGAUUAGAUACCCCUGUAGUC